AAAGUGGCCUACGCUACAGCCAUGGACUGGUUUAUGGCCGUCUGCUAUGCGUUU
This is a non-coding RNA of Danio rerio (zebrafish), 54 nucleotides long. The record is from Rfam. NCBI's taxonomy places the organism in Eukaryota, Metazoa, Chordata, Actinopteri, Cypriniformes, Danionidae.